CCUACGGGAGGCAGCAGUGGGGAAUCUUGCGCAAUGGGCGAGGAGCCUGACGGAGCAACGCCGCGUGGGGGAUGACGCCCUUCGGGGUGUAAACCUCUUUUCUGGGGGAAGAAGGGGGAGCAAUCCUCUUGACGGUACCCGAGGAAGAAGGACCGGCUAACUCCGUGCCAGCAGCCGGGUAAU
RNAcentral lists this ribosomal RNA (183 nucleotides) under uncultured bacterium. Its description in RNAcentral is "partial 16S ribosomal RNA". It matches the Rfam family "Bacterial small subunit ribosomal RNA", at positions 338 to 524 of the family's 1533-position model. The record is from RNAcentral.